AUGAGGGUCCCCGCUCAGCUCCUGGGGCUCCUGCUGCUCUGGCUCCCAGGAUCCACUGGCGAUAUUGUGAUGACCCAGACUCCACUCUUCCUGUCCAUCACCCUUGGAGAGCCAGCCUCCAUCUCCUGCAGGUCUAGUCAGAGCCUCUUUUAUAGUGAUGACCAAAACAUCUAUUUGGAUUGGUACCUGCAGAAGCCAGGCCAGUCUCCACAGCUCCUGAUCUAUUUUGUUUCCUACCGGGCCUCUGGAGUCCCAGACAGGUUCAGUGGCAGUGGAUCAGGCACUGAUUUCAUACUGAAAAUCAGCAGGUUGGAGGCUGAGGAUGUUGGGGUUUAUUACUGCAUGCAACGUAUAGAGUUUCCUUCCACAAUGGGCACCUUCCAGAGCCUCUUCAUUCCUAACUACUUUGGGCGCACAAGCCCCACAGACCCUCCGGUGUUGGCUGCCACAUCGUCCCUGGAGCAGCCACUAAAGUUUCCUGCUGUCCUCAUGGCUGCAGGGAUGCUCAGCCACGUCACUGGGAGGAGACCCUAG
Molecule: non-coding RNA, 534 nt
Organism: Nomascus leucogenys (northern white-cheeked gibbon)
Lineage: Eukaryota; Metazoa; Chordata; Mammalia; Primates; Hylobatidae
Source: the annotation of a RefSeq genome assembly